AAUGAACGUUGGCGGCGUGGAUUAGGCAUGCAAGUCGUACGGAGGUAGCAAUACCUUAGUGGCGAAAGGGAUAGGAAUACAUAGAUUAUCUGCCCUCAGGUCGUGGAUAGCGGCGGGAAACUGCCGGUAAUACACGAUAAUUUCCCCGGAACAAAGGUGAGAUUCCGCCUGGGGAUGAGUCUAUGUCCUAUUAGCUAGUUGGUAGUGUAAUGGACUACCAAGGCGAUGAUGGGUACGAGGCGUGAGAGCGUGUCCUCGAUCACUGGAACUGAGACACUGUCCAGACACCUACGGGUGGCUGCAGUCGAGAAUCUUCGGCAAUGGGCGAAAGCCUGACCGAGCGACGCCGCGUGUGUGAUGAAGGUCUUCGGAUUGUAAAGCACUGUAAGUUGGGAGGAA
RNAcentral lists this ribosomal RNA (399 nucleotides) under uncultured Planctomycetota bacterium. Its description in RNAcentral is "bacterial SSU rRNA". It matches the Rfam family "Bacterial small subunit ribosomal RNA", at positions 29 to 449 of the family's 1533-position model. The record is from RNAcentral. Lineage: Bacteria; Pseudomonadati; Planctomycetota.